CAGGUUAUUCUUAGUUGAAAUUUCAUUUACAUUGAAAAUUUUUAUUGUGCAAUUCAAUAUAACUUGA
This 67-nucleotide transfer RNA is filed under the name Perisphaerus sp. 1 ZQW-2023b. RNAcentral's name for it is "tRNA-Val". Lineage: Eukaryota; Metazoa; Arthropoda; Insecta; Blattodea; Blaberidae. The record is from RNAcentral.